RNAcentral lists this long non-coding RNA (549 nucleotides) under Monodon monoceros (narwhal). RNAcentral's name for it is "lncRNA (ENSMMNG00015010278.1)". The record is from RNAcentral. Lineage: Eukaryota; Metazoa; Chordata; Mammalia; Artiodactyla; Monodontidae.
GGGUUAUGCCUUGGAGUCUUUCCUCUGCAGUUCAAGAAUGACUGGUGUGUUUGAGAAGGCCAAGGCCGACUUUCCUGGAAUGUUCACUAGGAAGCAGCACCCAAGGUUGCGCACAGCGCUCAGUGGAGGCCAGCGAGGGAGGCAGCGCUCAGCACCAGUUCCUUCCCUAUGCUGCUCACCAGCCCCCCCAAAACACGCACACUGCCAGCAGUUCUGAUUUGCCCCAUCUUCUUCACGGCUCGGCUUCUCCUUUCCGUAGAGACACGGAGCCAAAAAGAAAGAAAGAAAGAAAUCAUCCUGUCAACAUGCUUCUGGUGGCUGAGGCCUCUGGCCGCCGGCCUGGGGUGAAGCUGACACAGGAGGCAUGGGAGGAGGGUGGGCCCUGAUGACCCUGAACCACUGAGACCCGCUGGAAGCCUGCCCCCCUCGGAGGCCCCGGCCGAGCCCCUCUGACUCCGUAUCUGUUCUGCCGCUCGGCUUACAAGCCAGCACCACAGCCCAAGCCCGGAGGUGGGCAAGGGCUCGGACCCCAGGGGCGCUGGCCUCUGC